AGCGGCAAAAAGGGUACU
Molecule: transfer RNA, 18 nt
Filed under: Funaria flavicans
Lineage: Eukaryota; Viridiplantae; Streptophyta; Bryopsida; Funariales; Funariaceae
Description: partial tRNA-Gly
Source: RNAcentral